UUUCCGGUUCCGCGCGGCAGUAGCGGCCGCGCAGCCCCGGCCAGAGCAGCCGCCAUUUCCAGCCCCCCGCGCUGCGGCCUGCUUGCCGGGGCUGGCGGCGGCAGGGUCCCGCCUGGCCUUGGCGCCUCGCUCGCUUCUCAGUCCCGCGGCGUCUCCCCUCCCCCUGCGGGGGAUCCUCUUCCUCUCCCUGAACUAGCCUGCGGGCAAGCCCGGGCCUCGCCCCCUCCCCACCAUGCGCCACAGCCUGACCCAGCUGCUGGCGGCCUCGUCGGGCGGAGAAAGCCCCUCGGCCGCCGCCUGGCAGCUCCCUAGCGCGGGGCCGGCCCCUGGGGCCGGAGGGGGCGAUGGCGGGGAGGAGGAGCCGGAGGGGCCCCGCACCAAGCAGCAGCGCUGGGACCCGGCCGUCCUGGAGCAGCCGCAGCAGGCGAUGGGGGAGGCGGCCGCUGGGGCCGAGGACCCGGCGGAGCAGGAGGACCCGUUUGCGGGGCUGGAGCUGGGCGACCUGCUGGAGGCGGCCCAGCCGCACUGGGACCUGGACGUAGAGCCGAGCGGCUGCUUCUGCGGGCAGCAGGACGAGCCGGAGCCGCCCCUGAGCGCGCCGGGCCGGAGGAGCUGCGGGGCCAGCCCGGGCGGGGUGGCGGCCGGGAGCCGGCUGAAGGCAGCGGCCGCGGCCCGCCUAAACCGGCUGAAGAAGAAGCAGUACGUGCUGGGGCUGGAGAGCCGCCUGCAGGGCCUGGCCGCUGAGAACCGGCAGCUGCGAGACCGCAACCGGGGGCUGAACCGGCGCCUGCGGGAUCUGGAGCGGGAGACCAGCUACCUGCGGGCCGUGCUGGCCAACCAGAGCGCCCUGGGGCAGCUGCUGAGCCGCCUGGCCGGGGCGGGGGGGCUCCGGUUCCGUACCAGCCUCUUCAGGGACACGGACCCGCCCCAUCAGCACCCGCCACAGGCCGGCGAGAGCCGCGACCACGACUACGCCCUGCCGAGCCAGGAUGCUGGGGAGCCGGAGGGGGAGGAGCGGCUGGCCUCCGGCGGGAUCUGCCUCCACGUGGACAGGGAUCAGCUGUCGGUGGAGUUCUGCUCCCUGUGUGCCAGGCGGGCAUGUGCCUCCUUCAAAAUUUUCUUUUUUAGGUGCUUGCCCUGCCAGGCUCCGUUGUGUAGGGGUUAAAGAACAGUCGUUUUCCACCUCGCAACCUGUGGAUACAGCUCUGUUGGGGCAGAAGAGACGGGACCAGCUGCUGGCCACAUUUCCUGCUUUAUUUUAAAAGCUUAGCAGCAUCUGGGGGAAAAACAAUUCAAUUUUUCUGCAACCUGUAACUGCCUGGAGAGAUGGUAUCAAAGUAAUUAUGGAGAGCCAUGUCACAAAUUUUGGCAUCUACUGAUGUAUCUGAGUUACCAAUUUUUUUUUUUUUUUUUUUUUUUUUUUUUUUUUUUUCCAAAAAUGGAGAGUCCUAGUGUUUCCUUUGAAAUUUUGAGGGACUUAUUUUUAAAAAAACAAAGGCUUUUCAUAUAAAACUUCCAUAAAAUUACCCAAUUUUAAAAACCUUGACUAAUAUGUUUUGGGAAUUGUAUAUUUGGAUAUGGUAUCUUCUGCAUGAAGGAAGGUAUUGUAAUACUUUGUAUGCAGCCUAUUAUACUUGCCUCUAUUAUUUAUUUAGACUUACAAAAGCCACAGUAGGUGUACAUCAUAUGCCCUUGGUGUCCAAAUGGAUAUUUUGUAUUCAGAAAGUUUUUUUUGUAGUUUUACACACACAAAAAAGUAGGUCACCAGUGGUGGGCGAGGUACUCUUCUCUCCCACCCUGUUGGGAUAACAGAGUGCCAGGGAUGGGGCUUUCUUGGGAGGUGUGCCUGUUCUGGGCUUGGGAGAAAUCAAGAAGAGGAGGAAGUAUCUAUUGCCAGGGGGAUUAGGAGCAAGGGGAGAAGAAAGCUGCUCUUGGUUGUGACGGGUGAAGUAAUGUUUUAUAGCACUGUUCAUAAAACGGAGAGCUCUGUUAAGAUGCAGGCUUCUCCUCCAUUCCUUUCCCCUAAUAACAACCCUCCCUCCCAUAAUCUGAAUCACCAUCAUUCUGGCAGAAGAUUAGACCUUGACUACCUUCAGAAUCCAUCUACAUUGCUUCUUAAUUGGACGGUAGAUUUCUCCUUUAAAAUGCAGUGAAAGCUACUGCAGUGAUAAUGUGUUUUUUGUGUGUAACCUGUUUUUGCCAUGAUGGUAAGAAUCUCCACAGAUAAGGAUACACCUAAAAAUAAUUGACCAUACCUGUAACUGCUGACUCGGGAUUUUGAACACCUUUUUCUUGCUUACUUUUCCAUUUACAGUAUGUAACAUAGAUACUACUUUUCAUAGUAUUCCUACAAUUCGUGUGAUGGUAGCUGCUACAAGAAGUUAUGUAACUCAACCACUUUGGGGGGAAAAAAAAUUGUUUUUUGAGGUGUGAAAUGCCAAAAGGUACUGGGGCAUACUGAGAAGUAAGUCUUGUAUAUAUAAAAAUAAGAGAGGCAAGUAGCCCUGCAUUAAAACUUUUUCCCCAUCGAUGAAUCUUUAAAUAACCAUGCUAAACAUUUUUGACUGACAGAAAAAUUGCAUCAGUAACCUAAAUACCAUUUUAUCUUGGUGCAACUUCAAAAGUGGAUGAAUUAAAAAUCUUUCAGUAUCAGGCUUUGUAACUUUAAACAGCGACUGGCCAGUAGCCACAAUGUGUGUAUCCCUAUUUUUUCCAUCUCCUGAUAUAGACUGACUUGUUAAGUUUUUACAUUUGAAUAAAUUAUUCAGUGCAAAAGAAUAUCAGGUGACCAGUCUUAAAAAAAAAGUUACAGGGCUGCAAUUGUUACUCUUUAAACUAGUUUAGUUUCCAAAGCGGAAUGAAUGUAAUGCUAAUUAGUUUGAUUUGAGCUAGGCGUUGAUUAUGUAAGCUUUUCUCUCUCAGCUCUAUGAUGCGCCUUUGAUAUUGCCCUGUAAAAUACCUUUGUUCCGGUCAUGGGACCCUAGAGUGCGGAUGAUCACUGCUGAAUAGUACAGGGGCUAAAUGUUUGUUUAGAUGCAAUCCAGUAUUGCAAGAAAAAUACAAGGGAAUGGUGGAGUGCUGUGUGCGGAGGGAGGAUAGUGCGGCUUCAUUAGCUAAAUUAUAAAUAUAGGGCCAAAUUCUGCUAAUUUUCCCCUGUGUAAAUUGGACUCACCCCACAGGCUUUUAAUUACCUAGGUAACUAGAAGAAUUACUGUUGUAGGCAUGAUUGUUUCUCUGCCAUAGCAAUCACGUUGCUCUUCUUAUACGGUCAAGUGCAUACACAUAAUUUUUGGAAAGUUGGACAAAUACAAUAAAACAGCAUCUGUGCAUUCCAUUUAUACUAGUCCAAGAGUAUAGAUUCACUGACAGACCUGAUGAUUGUCUUUAAUAAAACUCUAGGCUUGGGGAAUGAAAGCAUGGAUCACUUUCUCUUUAGAACAGGCUACCCUUGAACAAGCUGAUACACAUUGUCACUCUAAAAUUUGGGGAGCUUGCUGGCUGGCAGUUUACUACAUUUUUGUGAAGGGUGUUCCAUGUCCUUCAGACAUAUUUGGUAGGUGGGAUUGCACUGUAUGUUUGUAAAGAAGAUACAUUUGAGGCCCUGCUAGAUCUAUGCCCCUACUGUAGUUACCCCCUCAUUAAAUGUGUAUACCUUGAGUGUUUCAAAUUGGCAUCUCACAUAAGCACUCUAGAAUGUGCAGUAUUGAGUGUGACUGUACCUUGACAUCAGUCCAGACCACUUAUUUUGUGAGACCCAAAGAUUUCUUUGGGUAAACAGGGCUGCACAUUACUCUAGAAGCACAGACCACUUACAGCCUCUUGACUGACUGACUUCUGUUUAGAGGAAAGCUAAUGAAUUUUAUAUGCAAAAUUGGAUGAUAGGUGGCUCCAAAAUUCUUUCCACUUUGACCUUUCUGGUAUCUGGAUAUGGAAGCUUUUAAAUUAACCUCACCCCACUUUGCCAUCAUCUUUUCUGUCAUCUCUAUCAGACUAGUAAAAGUGGAAAUGAAGAUAUUUGGUCUGCCAUUUAGGGUUCAAGUAACAAUGCAGAAUACUGCAUAUGUUGGCAGGAUGGGUCUCAAUUUUGGGAAGUAAAAUCUGGAAGAAAUUAUUCCAAUAGUUAAUUGGGUGGGGUGACUUACAAGUCAAUCAAGAAAUUUCACAACUCAUCAAAUUUACAUUUAUUUAAAUAUAACUUUGCCUUUUUUUCUUCCUUCUUUUUAUUGAAAAAGACACACAAAGGAUAUUUAAGAAUUUUUGGUCCUGAAUUUUCUAUAUCUUAACAGCAGCUUACCUUAAGGUAAGGGGGGUAAUAGGCAUGAAUAGGACUCUUGCUCUUUAUUUGUAAAUAGGCUUGGCAUAAUUAAUUGUUUCCUUUUUAUAAUUUUGAUGGAUAUCAAUGUUUAUUUUUAAGCACUCUUUAUUUGUAUCUGUUUAAACUUUCACAGUUGUAGGAAAUUAUUGGGGGGGGGGCAUCAAACAAUUUAAGACAAGUUUCAAAAUGUUAAAACUUUAUCAUGGUUAAAAUACAAAUUGUUAACAUCCCAUGUCAAAAUAUAUAAAUGGAAUAUUCUUAAAU
RNA transcript from Trachemys scripta elegans, 4579 nucleotides. It is a transcript of the gene named CREB/ATF bZIP transcription factor, with no coding region annotated. NCBI's taxonomy places the organism in Eukaryota, Metazoa, Chordata, Testudines, Emydidae. The transcript is spliced from 4 exons. The record is from RefSeq and is a predicted model, not a curated record.